UUCACUACCAACCCAGGCUGGUCCUGAACUUUGCUCCACAACCCAAUCUCUCUGUCAUGUACCUUCCUCCAGAUAAGGCAUUUGAAGAAAGUCUCCGGAAUGAUAUUUGAAGAAGAUAGGAAGCCUAAUAAGGAUGAGCACAGUUUGGAGUCAGUCAUACCUGGAUUUGAAAUCCAUCUUGCAUGUUACUAUGAUCUUGGAUGAAUUUCAGAGCAAUUAAAAACUUGCCCAAAGUCACAGAGUUGAGAAGUGACAGAGCAAGAUUCUAACCCAGGUGUCUUGACUCCAAAACACUUUGCUUCAGUCUACACAAGCUGC
This 318-nucleotide long non-coding RNA is filed under the name Equus asinus (donkey). RNAcentral describes it as "lncRNA (ENSEASG00005023986.1)". The record is from RNAcentral. Lineage: Eukaryota; Metazoa; Chordata; Mammalia; Perissodactyla; Equidae.